ACCAACCUUGAGCACAACAGUCUGCAGCAGAACCAAAUUGACUGUCAUAUUGACAACAUAAAGGAAAACAAGAAAGGGAAAAAGAUCCCAUAGUGCAGCCAAUUUCUUGUUAUUAACAAGAGAAAGAAUGCAUUGAUCCCAUAACAUAGAACGGAAAUUUGACAAAGAGAGGGAUUUGCAACUGCAUACACAAGGAACUGACAAACUAAAGCUUUUUAAUAACUUUGUUACAGAUAUCCAUGUAUUACAAAUUUAAAUCUCAGUGUUUUAUAGAGAAACUUGGAAAGAAAGAACAGCAAAAACCAAAG
RNAcentral lists this unclassified non-coding RNA (308 nucleotides) under Hevea brasiliensis (rubber tree). The record is from RNAcentral. Lineage: Eukaryota; Viridiplantae; Streptophyta; Magnoliopsida; Malpighiales; Euphorbiaceae.